This 231-nucleotide long non-coding RNA is filed under the name Lathyrus oleraceus (garden pea). RNAcentral's name for it is "Pisum sativum (pea) long non-coding RNA (PSAT_LNC015459)". The record is from RNAcentral. Lineage: Eukaryota; Viridiplantae; Streptophyta; Magnoliopsida; Fabales; Fabaceae.
AUAUUUGCUUAUCUUAGAAGCACUCUAGAUUACAUAAGUCUUUAUCUUUGUUGUAUUUCCUCAAGUGACUCUGCGCAGUCAGUAUACUUGAGAGGACUAAGAGAUCCUUCUCUUAGACGUUGUUUGUAAUCAAUCUUUCAAGAUUAGUGGAUUAAGUCCUUGUUGAAGGCAAAAUCACCUUGGCCGGGUGGACUGGAGUAGCUUUGUGUUAUAAGCGAACCAGUAUAAAUU